This 639-nucleotide ribosomal RNA is filed under the name uncultured marine bacterium. RNAcentral's name for it is "bacterial SSU rRNA". It matches the Rfam family "Bacterial small subunit ribosomal RNA", at positions 762 to 1400 of the family's 1533-position model. The record is from RNAcentral.
UGGAGCAAACAGGAUUAGAUACCCCGGUAGUCCACGCCCUAAACGAUGAACACUAGUCGUCGCUCUGCUAGUCAGGGCGGUGAUGCACUUAACAGAUUAAGUGUUCCGCCUGGGAAGUACGGUCGCAAGAUUAAAACUCAAAGGAAUAGACGGGGACCCGCACAAGUGGUGGAGCAUGUGGUUUAAUUCGAAGAUACGCGAAGAACCUUACCUAGCCUUGACAUUGAAGAAACACCCUAGAGAUAGAGUGGUGCCCUUCGGGGAACUUGAAAACAGGUGCUGCACGGCUGUCGUCAGCUCGUGUCGUGAGAUGUUGGGUUAAGUCCCGCAACGAGCGCAACCCUCGUCCUUAGUUGCCAGCAGGUUAUGCUGGGCACUCUAAGGAGAUUGCCUUCGCAAGGAGGAGGAAGGUGAGGACGACGUCAAGUCAUCAUGGCCCUUAUGGCUAGGGCUACACACGUGCUACAAUGGGGCGUACAGAGUGUUGCGAUACCGCGAGGUGGAGCCAAUCACUUAAAGCGUCUCUCAGUUCGGAUUGAAGUCUGCAACUCGACUUCAUGAAGCUGGAAUCACUAGUAAUCGUAGAUCAGCUAUGCUACGGUGAAUACGUUCCCGGGUCUUGUACACACCGCCCGUCAC